This 691-nucleotide ribosomal RNA is filed under the name Agaricus praeclarefibrillosus. RNAcentral's name for it is "partial large subunit ribosomal RNA". It matches the Rfam family "Eukaryotic large subunit ribosomal RNA", at positions 76 to 755 of the family's 3401-position model. Lineage: Eukaryota; Fungi; Basidiomycota; Agaricomycetes; Agaricales; Agaricaceae. The record is from RNAcentral.
UCCCCUAGUAACUGCGAGUGAAGCGGGAAAAGCUCAAAUUUAAAAUCUGGCGGUCUCUGGCCGUCCGAGUUGUAAUCUAGAGAAGUAAUGCCCGUGCUGGACCGUGUAUAAGUCUCCUGGGAUGGGGCGUCAUAGAGGGUGAGAAUCCCGUCUUUGACACGGACUACCAGUGCAUUGUGGUAUGCUCUCAAAGAGUCGAGUUGUUUGGGAAUGCAGCUCAAAAUGGGUGGUAAAUUCCAUCUAAAGCUAAAUAUUGGCGAGAGACCGAUAGCGAACAAGUACCGUGAGGGAAAGAUGAAAAGAACUUUGGAAAGAGAGUUAAACAGUACGUGAAAUUGCUGAAAGGGAAACGCUUGAAGUCAGUCGCGUUGGCCAGGGAUCAGCCUUGCUUCUGCAUGGUGUACUUUCUGGUUGACGGGUCAGCAUCAAUUUUGACCGCUGGAAAAGGUCCUGGGGAAUGUGGCAGCUCCGGCUGUGUUAUAGCCCCUGGUCGCAUACAGUGGUUGGGAUUGAGGAACUCAGCACGCCGCAAGGCCGGGUUUCGACCACGUUCGUGCUUAGGAUGCUGGCAUAAUGGCUUUAAGCGACCCGUCUUGAAACACGGACCAAGGAGUCUAACAUGCCUGCGAGUAUUUGGGUGGAAAACCCGAGUGCGCAAUGAAAGUGAAAGUUGAGAUCCCUGUCGCGGGGA